CAGGGUACAGAAUGGUAGGAGAGAUGGCUUCCUACCUCCCACCAGUCAUGUGAGUAGUGAGUCACUCCAUUCUGGCUCUGGAGAGCUCUCUUGGUGUCUGAGUCAGACUUCUUAACCAAUGGCAUUCAGAGAAACUCAAGCUGCCCCUUUUAAUUCAGUAGGAGAGAAAAAUGUGUGGAAUGUUAUUUGCCAAACUGUGACCUCAAUUCAGACAACAUGCCUGGGCAGAGGAUCCAGGAUCAGGAGACAGCAUGAACUGGGACAAGCCUGAUUGUGGGAAAGAGCCCCAGCUUUGCCUUUGGGAAAGUCCUAAUCUACUCAGGCACCAAUUUCCUGGGUCAUAGGAGACAGAAUCUCAUCAAAAUCUCAGAGGCAGAGGAUUUCCACCAGUUUUGACUGAAGCUUGUUUUUAGCAUCUGGCUGGAAAUGUUACAUCAUGAAAUGCUUCAUACUGCAGGGAGAUCUCAGCUGAAGGAGCUCAAAGAGAAAGGAAGUACAGGGCUUACUCAACAGAAGAUCAGCAUCGAAGGAGUCAUAAAAGACUCCGGGUUUCCCCUUAUCACUCUGUGGGGACAUCUUCAAGAUAUUGGUUUCAGCUUUCAGCCUUGCCAUUUUUUGGCUCUGAAAUGGCUAGAUUAUGCAUUCAUAGAAAUGUCUUUGAAUAAAAGAAAGACACAUACUUCUUGUAGUUGACCUUUCUUUUCUGAGGGGAAGAGAUGUCUUCCCUGGGCAUUCCUCUCCUGCUGGGCUCCUAGAAAGGAUUAGGUAGAGCCAUGUCACAAGGCCACACCCAAGCCAGAGAGAGGCUCCA
This is a long non-coding RNA of Mus caroli (Ryukyu mouse), 811 nucleotides long. RefSeq lists it as uncharacterized. NCBI's taxonomy places the organism in Eukaryota, Metazoa, Chordata, Mammalia, Rodentia, Muridae. The record is from RefSeq and is a predicted model, not a curated record.